UACGUAGGGUCCGAGCGUUGUCCGGAGUUACUGGGCGUAAAGCGCGCGCAGGCGGCGGUGCUGGCCCGGCGUGAAAGCCCCCGGCUCAACCGUGGAAGUGCCUUGGAUACCGGCGGCCUCGAGGGAGGUAGGGGCGUGCGGAACUUCGGGUGGAGCGGUGAAAUGCGUAGAUAUCCGAAGGAACACCGGUGGCGAAAGCGGCGCGCUGGAUCUCUUCUGACGCUGAGGCGCGAAAGCCAGGGGAGCAAACGGG
Molecule: ribosomal RNA, 253 nt
Filed under: uncultured bacterium
Lineage: Bacteria
Description: partial 16S ribosomal RNA
Rfam family: Bacterial small subunit ribosomal RNA
Source: RNAcentral